AAGAAAUAUACAGAGUUCAGAAAGAGCCUUACAUUGGAUCCUGACUGCUAGAGAAAACAGAAUUUACAUGUAGCAAUCCGGAAAGUUUCCAAGGCAACACCAGCUUCUUAUGACAUCCCAAAGAGAGGUCACAAUUGUGGCAGGCAUGUCAAUAUUGCUGGUUAAGCCUUGAGAGGUCCUUUUUGGUUAGGAUGAGAACAUCAUGGCCUCACCUUUGGAUUCCAAAGCAGAUUCAACACAAGAGUUCUUAAAAACACAAUACUUUUAUUGGCUUCUCAUCCUUUGGCAACAGCACACUCAUAUGCAGCUUGUUGAUUUGGCUGAAUCCUUCAUUCAGGAGCUUGGUGUAGCGUUCAGUGUGGCUCCUCCUGCAGUUCUUCUUGGCUCCCAGAGGUCAGCACCAGGCAGUGCUCUCAGCUUUUUCCCCAAUCAGGACCCUACACCUAUAUUCAAAGCCAUUCUAGUUUAG
RNAcentral lists this long non-coding RNA (469 nucleotides) under Phascolarctos cinereus (koala). Its description in RNAcentral is "lncRNA (ENSPCIG00000004930.2)". The record is from RNAcentral. Lineage: Eukaryota; Metazoa; Chordata; Mammalia; Diprotodontia; Phascolarctidae.